This 404-nucleotide ribosomal RNA is filed under the name Sphingomonas sp. RNAcentral describes it as "bacterial SSU rRNA". It matches the Rfam family "Bacterial small subunit ribosomal RNA", at positions 355 to 776 of the family's 1533-position model. The record is from RNAcentral. Lineage: Bacteria; Pseudomonadati; Pseudomonadota; Alphaproteobacteria; Sphingomonadales; Sphingomonadaceae. RNAcentral also lists the same sequence under 2 other names.
UGGGGAAUAUUGGACAAUGGGCGAAAGCCUGAUCCAGCAAUGCCGCGUGAGUGAUGAAGGCCCUAGGGUUGUAAAGCUCUUUUACCCGGGAAGAUAAUGACUGUACCGGGAGAAUAAGCCCCGGCUAACUCCGUGCCAGCAGCCGCGGUAAUACGGAGGGGGCUAGCGUUGUUCGGAAUUACUGGGCGUAAAGCGCACGUAGGCGGCUUUGUAAGUCAGAGGUGAAAGCCUGGAGCUCAACUCCAGAACUGCCUUUGAGACUGCAUCGCUUGAAUCCAGGAGAGGUCAGUGGAAUUCCGAGUGUAGAGGUGAAAUUCGUAGAUAUUCGGAAGAACACCAGUGGCGAAGGCGGCUGACUGGACUGGUAUUGACGCUGAGGUGCGAAAGCGUGGGGAGCAAACAGG